AAUUUUAUAGUUUAAUAGAACAAUUGAUUGCAAGUCUUUAGGUAACUAGUGUUUAAAAUUU
RNAcentral lists this transfer RNA (61 nucleotides) under Fuelleborniella sp. FuspCA. Its description in RNAcentral is "tRNA-Cys". The record is from RNAcentral. Lineage: Eukaryota; Metazoa; Arthropoda; Insecta; Psocodea; Caeciliusidae.